This 253-nucleotide ribosomal RNA is filed under the name uncultured bacterium. Its description in RNAcentral is "partial 16S ribosomal RNA". It matches the Rfam family "Bacterial small subunit ribosomal RNA", at positions 524 to 776 of the family's 1533-position model. The record is from RNAcentral.
UACGGGGGGGGUAAGCGUUGUUCGGAAUUACGGGGCGUAAAGGGCUCGUAGGCGGCCAACUAAGUCAGACGUGAAAUCCCUCAGCUUAACUGGGGAACUGCGUCUGAUACUGGCGAGCUUGAGUGCAGGAGAGGAACGCGGAAUUCCAGGUGUAGCGGUGAAAUGCGUAGAUAUCUGGAGGAACACCGGUGGCGAAGGCGGCGUUCUGGACUGCUACUGACACUGAGGAACGAAAGCCAGGGGAGCAAACGGG